RNAcentral lists this ribosomal RNA (376 nucleotides) under uncultured Actinomycetes bacterium. RNAcentral describes it as "bacterial SSU rRNA". It matches the Rfam family "Bacterial small subunit ribosomal RNA", at positions 1073 to 1447 of the family's 1533-position model. The record is from RNAcentral. Lineage: Bacteria; Bacillati; Actinomycetota; Actinomycetes.
UGUUGGGUUAAGUCCCGCAACGAGCGCAACCCUCGUUCCAUGUUGCCAGCACGUAGUGGUGGGGACUCAUGGGAGACUGCCGGGGUCAACUCGGAGGAAGGUGGGGACGACGUCAAAUCAUCAUGCCCCUUAUGUCUUGGGCUUCACGCAUGCUACAAUGGCCGGUACAAUGGGUUGCGAUACUGUGAGGUGGAGCUAAUCCCAAAAAGCCGGUCUCAGUUCGGAUUGGGGUCUGCAACUCGACCUCAUGAAGUCGGAGUCGCUAGUAAUCGCAGAUCAGCAACGCUGCGGUGAAUACGUUCCCGGGCCUUGUACACACCGCCCGUCAAGUCAUGAAAGUCGGUAACACCCGAAGCCAGUGGCCCAACCGCAAGGA